This 411-nucleotide ribosomal RNA is filed under the name Streptomyces variabilis. Its description in RNAcentral is "bacterial SSU rRNA". It matches the Rfam family "Bacterial small subunit ribosomal RNA", at positions 45 to 460 of the family's 1533-position model. The record is from RNAcentral. Lineage: Bacteria; Bacillati; Actinomycetota; Actinomycetes; Kitasatosporales; Streptomycetaceae.
UGCUUACCAUGCAGUCGAACGAUGAACCUCCUUCGGGAGGGGAUUAGUGGCGAACGGGUGAGUAACACGUGGGCAAUCUGCCGUGCACUCUGGGACAAGCCGUGGAAACGGGGUCUAAUACCGGAUACUGACCCGCUUGGGCAUCCAAGCGGUUCAAAAGCUCCGGCGGUGCGAGAUGAGCCCGCGGCCUAUCAUCUUGUUGGUGAGGUAGUGGCUCACCAGGGCGACCACGGGUAGCCGGCCUGAGAGGGCGACCGGCCACACUGGGACUGACACACGGCCCACACUCCUACGGGAGGCAGCAGUGGGGAAUAUUGCACAGUGGGCAAACGCCUGAUGCAGCGACCCCGCGUGAGGGAUGACCGUCUUCGGGGUGAAAACCUCUUUCAGCAGGGAAAAAGCAAAUGUGAC